UCAGGCCUACGGGACGCAGAAGUGAGGAAUAUUGGUCAAUGGACGAGAGUCUGAACCAGCCAAGUAGCGUGAAGGAUGACUGCCCUAUGGGUUGUAAACUUCUUUUAUAAAGGAAUAAAACGAGGCACGUGUGCCUUUUUGCAUGUACUUUAUGAAUAAGGAUCGGCUAACUCCGUGCCAUCAGCCGCGGUAAUACGGAGGAUCCGAGCUUUAUCCGGAUUUAUUGGGUUUAAA
RNAcentral lists this ribosomal RNA (234 nucleotides) under uncultured bacterium. RNAcentral's name for it is "partial 16S ribosomal RNA". It matches the Rfam family "Bacterial small subunit ribosomal RNA", at positions 333 to 564 of the family's 1533-position model. The record is from RNAcentral.